RNAcentral lists this ribosomal RNA (506 nucleotides) under uncultured bacterium. Its description in RNAcentral is "partial 16S ribosomal RNA". It matches the Rfam family "Bacterial small subunit ribosomal RNA", at positions 29 to 523 of the family's 1533-position model. The record is from RNAcentral.
AGUGAACGCUGGCGGUAGGCCUAACACAUGCAAGUCGAACGGCAGCACAGGAGAGCUUGCUCUCUGGGUGGCGAGUGGCGGACGGGUGAGGAAUACAUCGGAAUCUACUCUGUCGUGGGGGAUAACGUAGGGAAACUUACGCUAAUACCGCAUACGACCUACGGGUGAAAGCAGGGGAUCUUCGGACCUUGCGCGAUUGAAUGAGCCGAUGUCGGAUUAGCUAGUUGGCGGGGUAAAGGCCCACCAAGGCGACGAUCCGUAGCUGGUCUGGGAGGAUGAUCGGCAACACUGGAACUGAGACACGGUCCAGACUCCUACGGGAGGCAGCAGUGGGGAAUAUUGGACAAUGGGCGCAAGCCUGAUCCAGCCAUACCGCGUGGGUGAAGAAGGCCUUCGGGUUGUAAAGCCCUUUUGUUGGGAAAGAAAUCCAGCUGGCUAAUACCCGGUUGGGAUGACGGUACCCAAAGAAUAAGCACCGGCUAACUUCGUGCCAGCCGCCGCCGUAA